This 86-nucleotide non-coding RNA is filed under the name Vibrio sp. THAF64. RNAcentral also lists the same sequence under 2 other names. Lineage: Bacteria; Pseudomonadati; Pseudomonadota; Gammaproteobacteria; Vibrionales; Vibrionaceae. The record is from RNAcentral.
CAUUACGGUGAGCUGGGCAGGGCAGCUUCCGGGCUGGCCGAUACCUGUGGGUCGGUAGUGCUAACCUUGUUCAGUUCACCACCCUU